UGGGGAAUUUUCCGCAAUGGGCGAAAGCCUGACGGAGCAAUACCGCGUGAGGGAGGAAGGCUCUUGGGUUGUAAACCUCUUUUCUCAGGGAAGAAUCCUGACGGUACCUGAGGAAUCAGCAUCGGCUAACUCCGUGCCAGCAGCCGCGGUAAUACGGAGGGUGCAAGCGUUGUCCGGAAUUAUUGGGUGUAAAGGGUGUGUAGGCGGACUUGUAAGUCAGAGGUGAAAGCCCGCGGCUUAACCGCGGAAUUGCCCCUGAUACUGCAAGUCUUGAGUCCUGGAGAGGUCGCUGGAAUUCGUGGUGUAGCGGUGAAAUGCGUAGAUAUCACGAGGAACACCAGAGGUGUAGACGGGUGACUGGACAGGAACUGACGCUGAGGCACGAAAGCGUGGGGAGCAAACAGGAUUAGAUACCCGUGUAGUCC
This 425-nucleotide ribosomal RNA is filed under the name uncultured prokaryote. Its description in RNAcentral is "bacterial SSU rRNA". It matches the Rfam family "Bacterial small subunit ribosomal RNA", at positions 355 to 796 of the family's 1533-position model. The record is from RNAcentral.